Molecule: long non-coding RNA, 594 nt
Filed under: Equus asinus (donkey)
Lineage: Eukaryota; Metazoa; Chordata; Mammalia; Perissodactyla; Equidae
Description: lncRNA (ENSEASG00005030207.1)
Source: RNAcentral
UGGGAUUUAAAGCAACGAUUUCAAGCUGCCACGGGUCUGAACAAGUUGAGGAAAUGCUGUGUGCACCUUAGGCAGCUCACGACAGGGCGCAGGAGAGAUGAUCACCAAUGGGCUAAUGCGUAUUCUGCCAGACCUCUUCCAUCUUGGGCCUGGCGAUUUUGGAAUGCUGUGGACGUUGACAGUCGUUACAACUUUCUUCAGAAUAUGUGCGUAUGCUGCUUUCCUCUGGAGAUCUGUCCUUGCUGUAAAAGCAGAAGUAGGAGGACCUUCCUGAUUCCUGGGAACACCCAGCAUGCUGAACCCAGUGGGGUGCCCAUGCAUGGGUGCUGGACCAGGUGCACCUCCUCUGGCGUGGUCACCUACGAUGCCUCAGCCUGCACUACAUGAGGCAGGAUCUGCAGCCGGGAGCUUCUUCGUGCCAAAGGAGGAGGAAGGCCAGGAGAGCGAGGGCAAGGAUUGGGAUUUUUUUGGAUAUUUUUCAAAGAAUUACACCCAAGCAUUUCAUGCAUGCCCACACUUAAAUCCCCAGCUUGUCGUUAUUACUGCCUACCUGCAAAUUGCUCUAUUGGCCAUUUACUGCUGGAAGAAGCUCUU